UUACACACUCAAUCAAUCCAAUCGAAGUAAACAAGACUAUUUAUCAUAACUUCCACUGUCAUGGAAAGCAACACGGUCUCACGGGAGUCCUGCAACAUCCUGCCAUUGAGAUGGAUGGGAAUGCCAACAGUGUUGUUCAUCACCAAACAAGUUCUCAUGACUGAGGAUCACAACGGUAACAGACCAGUGAGAGCCGGGAUAAGCAGGAUCACAGUAUCCCAG
Non-coding RNA from Pimephales promelas (fathead minnow), 222 nucleotides. NCBI's taxonomy places the organism in Eukaryota, Metazoa, Chordata, Actinopteri, Cypriniformes, Leuciscidae. The record is from RefSeq and is a predicted model, not a curated record.